UACUAAUCAAACUUCUGCUUUCAGCGAUUCUGGUAUGUGUGGUAAGCUUGAACAUUUUAGGAACAUAUUCGGAUAUUCCUCUUUGAGUCUUUUCCUUUUCUAAUUUUGAGGAUUAUAUAAAUAUACUCCCUCCGUUCCUAAAUAUAAGUCUUUUAAGAGAUUUCAUUAAGAGUCUACAUACGAAGCAAAAUGAGUGAAUCUACACUCUAAAAUAUGUCUAUAUACAUCCAUAUGUAGUCUACUAGUAAAAUCUCUAGAAAGACUUAUAUUUAGGAACGGAGGGAGUAGUACAUAGAAUUUUUUAUCCCUGUUUGGUCAUGUCCUAAUUAGAAUAAAUUAAUUUUAAAUUUAAGAGAAAUAAACUACUCCCUAUGUUUAUAU
Molecule: long non-coding RNA, 381 nt
Filed under: Hordeum vulgare
Lineage: Eukaryota; Viridiplantae; Streptophyta; Magnoliopsida; Poales; Poaceae
Description: long non-coding RNA (HVUL_LNC008521)
Source: RNAcentral